GGGAAUGUUAUUGUCUCACGUAGUGUUGGUUUGAGUUUUUUCAUAAAGGUGUGGAUCUACUUACCGGAGUUUGAGCAUGGCAAAUACCCCAGGACCAUCUAGUCAGGAUCGCUUAUUCAAGAGUUGCUUAAGAAUAUUUUUAUUUUUAUUUUUAUUUUUUAUUCUUUGAGUCUGUUUUUUUUUUGCGUCGUCUUUUACCUUCUAGUUUUGUACAGCAAUGUCGAGUUUUAUGUUAUUGUACUUUCUAUUUUGUAUUUGAAAAAGUGUUUUAUAUGAAACGCAAAAUCUCUUUUUAAUGGAAAAAAACACUUUUUCUUAUUUUCAUUAGAACUUUAGGAUAUUGUACAUAGACAACAACAACAACAACAACAACAACAACCCAGUGUAAUCCCACAAGUGGGGUCUGGGGAGGGUAAUAUGUACGCAGACCUUACCUCUACCCCGAGGAUAUUGUACAUAGAAGAAAAAGAAAAUAACAUACUUUAUCUUGGUUUAUCUUCAGAGUUUCUCCCUUAGGUAAUCAAACUGAGAUCCAAAAAUAUUUUUUUUAUCUUUUUCAUUUCUUGGUUCGAAAUCUUUCUUUCAGGAUAUCAAACGAAAAUCAAAAUAUAUUUCUUUGGUUUAUUCUUUAGAUUUGCUUCCUAAAAAAAAGAACAAAAUCAAAAAAAAAAUUCUCUUCUAGGGUUUUUUCCUUAAUAAUUUCUCAUAGAGUAUUUGUUUAAAAAAAAGAUAUAUGCUCGUUAAGCUCAAGUUUAGAAUAGGUUAUAGAACAUUAAGUCUAAAAAUUCAUUAAAAAAAGAGAACAUUAGUUUGUUUACUUUAUUUAUGAUAUUUCUAGAACUACGCUUGGUCUGAUUCAUGCGCCGUCAUGAUAUGUAGGCAAAUCCCAUAGGAUUCGAUCAUAAUCGUGAAAUGAAAAGAAGAAAAAAGACAGAAAAAAGAGAAAACAAGAGAAUUGUGGGAGGAAAUAAUAGCAAACCAAGAGAGGAAAAUGAAGGAAUAAAAGAAAAACAAGAAUCAGGCAAAGAAAAGCAGGAAUGAAAAAGAGAGAAGUUGCAAAAUGAAAAUUAGGAAAAGUCGGGAUGAUGCAAGCAACCGAUCAAAUGCAUAAUAGAAAUGGUUAACUGCUUAGGUGAAUUGCAUCCCCAAUGUGCGGUUGCAUAUCUGUUAAGCUCUAAUUGCUAACAAGUUUGUUGUUGUCAUCAAGUCCAGGCAGGCGGUUAGUUUGUUUGGCAUUCUGGCAACUCAUCCAUACAACACCAGGUCCAAAGACAAGUUGAUCAUGGCCAACCAAGAACUAGAUGCAAGUGUUAUUUAUCCAUCAAGAGAGGGGAAAGAGUCUGAUGUUAAUCUGAAAGAGGAGUUGUAUAAGAUGAAAAACCAGAUGGCAUAGAUGUACAAGGCAUGGGUGAAAGGGCAUCCACCACCAUCCUACCCCAUCAACCCUGUUUUCGUCCCGCCGCUGGCUCAAUCCCAAGAACCUCCCACUAUUAAUUCAUCUCCGGGCUUUCCCAUUUAUAACGUGGUGGAAGAAGAACUUGAUGGUGAGCCGUGGUUCCACGACAUUAGGGAGUACAACAGAAUUGGGGUAUAUCCGGUACAGGCUACGGGGGAUCAAAAGAGAACAAUUCCACGUUUGGCAAGUGGGUUUUUCUUCAGCGGGGGAGUUUUGUACAAAAAGAGUCAAGAUCGUGGUUUGUUAAGAUGCAUAGAUGCUAGACAAGCCACGGCUAUCAUGACCGAAGUACAUUUCGGAGUCUGCGAACCGCAUAUGAGAGGGUAUGUUCUGGCAAAAAUAAUUCUCCGAGCAGGUUAUUAUUGGCUCACCAUGGAGCGAGAUUGUAUCAGUUUGUGCGCAAGUGUCAUCAAUGCAAAAUACACGGAGAUUUGAUUCAUUCUCCGCCAUCAGAGUUUCACACAAUGUCCGCACCAUGGUCCUACGUUGCUUGGAGCAUGCAUGUCAUUGGACCAAUUGAGCCAGCGGCAUCCAAUGGGCACAGGUUCAUCCUGGUGGCCAUUGAUUAUUUCACCAAGCGAGUUGAAGCUAAAACUUUCAAGUUUGUGACCAAGAAAGCAGGGGUCGAUUUUUUUCACUCAAAUAUCAUUUGUCGGUUCAGGAUCCCAAAGGUAAUCAUCACAGAUAAUGGUGCUAAUCUCAAUAAUCAUAUGAUGAAAGAGGUAUGUCAACAAUUUAAGAUUACGUAUCGUAAUUCCACCCCAUACUGCCCCAAUGCGAAUGGAGCAGUCGAGGCAGCCAACAAGAACAUAAAGAAGAUACUUCGAAAAAUGGUGGAAGGUUCCAGGCAAUGGCAUGAAAAGUUUCCCUUUGCGUUGUUGGGUUAUCGCACUACUGAUCGCACUUCAGUAGGUGCAACUCCUUAUUUAUUGGUAUAUGGCACAGAAGCAGUGAUACCCACGGAGGUUGAAAUCCCAUCCCUUUGGAUUGUUGCUGAAGCCGAGAUUGAGGGUGAUGAAUGGGUCAAGGCCCGUUUGGAGCAAUUGAGUUUGAUUGAUGAGAAGAGAUUGGCAGCAGUGUGUCAUGGCCAGUUGUAUCAAAAGAGAAUGGCAAGAGAAUACAACAAGAAGGUGCAUCCCCGGAAAUUUGAAGUGGGUCAGUAAGUAUUGAAAUGCAUCUUUCCACACCAGGCUGAAGCAAAAUGCAAGUUCGCCCCAAAUUGGCAGGGGGCGUUCAUCGUAACGAGAGUGUUGUCCAAUGGUGCAUUGUAUUUAACAGAUAUAGAAGCCAAAUGUGUAGAUAUGGCUAUCAAUUCUGAUUCAGUCAAAAGAUAUUAUGUAUGAUUUCUUUGGUAUAAAUUGUAUUUGUUUGUACUUGUCGUGUUUUGAAGAUUGGAAUGACGAAGGCAUUUUGUUCUGCUAUCUAAACAUUUUAUCCUUUGUUACCCCUAUAAGCCUUAUUUAUUUCCUUUCGUCCCCCUCUUUUGGAAUCAGUAGCAAAGUUCAGAAACGCGAGCGCAAUAAGUAAAGGAAAAGAGAGAAAAGAGAAAGAAAAGAAUGAAAAAGAGUGAAAAAAAACUAAAAGGGAUAAGAGAAAAAAAGAAGAAAAGAAAGAAAGAAAAGAAAGAGAAAAAUCACAACAACAAAGCAAUUCCUACACAUGAAUUACGUUCGACCUGAUUCCUUUUAAGGAUACACAUGCAACCUCAUGGUUCUAUCCUAUCAAAAUAAAAAUUCAAAAGUCCCCAAGAAAAGAAACUGGGGCAGAAAUUGUGGUUGUUGUAAGAAAUCUGAUUCCAAAAGUUGUAAUUUUGAACCCAUUUGAAUGUUUUGAGCCUCUUUGAUAUCCUUUCUUUCUAACCCCGUCCAGAGCCCACAUUAUGGUCCAAAGAAAGACCUUCCGAUCAGUCUUCGAGAGAUGCCAAGUCAGGCAAGUAGAGGUGAUUCAUAUCAGGGGCAACACUCCUAACUAAGCAAGAAAAGUGAAAAAUUAGAGAGUCUUAUUGGUGAAAAUCCUCGCGGGCACCGUAUGGAGACAAAAGAUGAGAGAAAUUAAAAUGAGAGAGUCUUAUUGGUGAAAACUCUCAUGGGCACCAUAAGGCGAUAGUAAGUUGAGAGAAGAACAAAUGAGAGAGGUUUGUUGGUGAAAACACUUCAGGGGACCGCAGGCCGAACAAGGUCAGUGAUUGGGCAAAGAAAUUGGGUUAUGGAAAUCUUGGGGCGCCAAGUAUGACAACUGAAAGUUGAUUGGUUGGAUAGACUGGGCUGAUUAAUCCAAAAUGCAUUUCCUUUCUUUUUCCCCUUCAAAUGGUCAUCCAGUUUUGGAUUUUUCUUCCUCAUUACUAACUCUCAAAGUCAUUGCAUUUCAUUUCUUUCGGGUUUAUUUCUCUAAGAUGUUUCCAAUGCCAGUUUUGUUUAAGAAAAUAAGAAAGGAUUUCAAAGAUUACUACCAACUUCCAAAUUGCACAAAGCAAAAUGCGGCUAGAACAUGCCAGAGAUAGUAUGAUGUAAAGUGUGACAUAAAGUGCCAGUGAAAGUUCAAUCGGUGGAAUGGUUUGGUAAUUUUGUGGGAGAUGCAGAGGUUCAGAUAGAAGGAUCAGAAAUGUAAAACAACUGUUUGGGUAUAGAGCCCUCGGUUCAUCCAGGGUCCUGCGAUUGAGGAUCAGUCAGAAAGUCAAACAAUUCUUGGCCAGUUCAAGGUAGCCAGUCAAAGCAAAGCAUGGCAAGGGAAGAUCCACCUUCACAAGAACGCCACGAACUAACCACCACAUUUUUAAACUGAUAAAAUUUUUCUUUAAUUUGAAACAGGGGCAGAAAAUUUCGAUUGUUUUGAAGAAACCCUCCGUAAGGGAAAGCAAGUACCAGACAGGUUUGACGAUAAAUUCUCAGGACCAUCCUGGAUAAUGGGACCUAGUUUAAAAUUCAAAUAUACAUGAGUAACAAGAUCUAGCAUAAGUCUUACCCCAAAGAAAUAUAAGUUGGCUUUGAAGUUUUUAUUUUUAGGAUAGGUCAAUUCGAAAUUUUUAGGACCCUCCUGAAUAAUGAGACUUAGCGUUAAGACUUUUAUUAGAUAACAAGAUUUAGCGUAAGUUCUGCUGUAAGGAAGUAUAAUUUAUCCUUAAAGUUGUCGCUCUUAAGAUAAGAUUUGAUUUUGACUUUCAGGACCCUCCUGGAUAAUGGGAUGUAUUUCUGAGACUUUCUUAGACAACAAGAUUUAGCGGAAGUCAUACCUUUAGAAAAUAUAAUUUAGCUUUAAAACUGUCUUUUUACUAGGAGUUUUCAGGACCCUCCUGGAUAAUGAGAUCUAGCUUUGAGAUUCUUAGAGAUAUUUGGUAACAUGAUUCAAUUAACAUUCACAGAUGUGCCCAGCCAACAAACUGGGGUAGAAAAUUUUCUUUGUUUUGUCUAUUUUCUUGAAAUCAGGCACCCAUUUGGAGAACAAGGGAGAACAAGGAAUCAUGUUCAAAGGAAAAGCAGUCGCAAGGGGAAGUAGUUCAAUUUCAGAAAUCAGGAGCCUACCUAGAGAACAAAGGGAAAACAAAUCAAAUUCCAAGGGAGAGCAAUUCAAGCAUUGGUAAUCAGGAGCCCACCUGAAGAACAAAGGGAAGCAGCAAGGUUCAAAGGAGUUCAGUAAUCAGGAGCCCACCUGAAGAACAAAGGAAAGCAGCAAGGUUCAAAGGAGUUCAGUAAUUAGGAGCCCACCUAAAUAACAAAGGGAAGCAGCAAGGUUCAAAGGAGUUCAGAGGAGUUCAGCAAUCAGGAGCCCACCUGAAGAACAAAGGGAAGCAGCAAGGUUCAAAGGAGUUCAGCAAUCAGGAGCCUACACAAAGGGAGAACAAGGCAAGUUUCUGAGGGGAAGAUAAUUCAAGUGUUGGAAAUCAGGAGCCCACCUGGAGAACAAAGGGAAGGCCACAGUAGUCAAAGGAAGACGGUUCAAGUUCAACAAACAGGCACCCGUCUGGAGAAAAAGGGAAAGCAUCUCAGAUUACAAUUCAAGUCAACAACAAAGGAAUUUCACCUGGAGAGUACGAGUCAGCAGAGCAACAGGAACUACAAGAUCAAGUUUGAAGAUAUAGAUAGGAUUCUUGUAAUUCACAGAUCAUAGUGUAAUCUAGCUUCUUUUAUUUUGGUGUAAUAAGGAGUUCAGUAAGCAGUAGCAUCAACAACAACAGUGAAAUCACAGCUUCUUGGUAGUGCCAGCUACCAAAACUUUCCGAAUUACACUGACCGAUUCCUUUAUAGCCAAGGAUAUGUAGGCAACCUCGGAAGUAGGGUGCGGUCAAAUCUUUUCAAAAAUGCUUCCCACGGAGUAUUCAAACGGGCAAAAAUCGCUCGUAUCCGCUCACUUUAUCUUUGCACCAAAACUCUUCAUGUUUCCGAGCAAAAAGGGCAGCUGUGAGCACGUGAUUUUUGCCCCACAUGAAUUACUCCUACAGAAUUCCAAAGAAUUAGAUUUUUUCUUAUAAUUGUUUGUUAUUUUAAUAAUUAUUGUAGAAUUUUCCUAAUUAUUUGCAUUUUUGUCUCUGCAUGUUUAAUUUUAUUAAAUUCAUAAAAAUAAUACAUUGCAUUUUCAUUUAGUACUUAAUUUUACAUUUUAGAUUAAUUGGUUUGUUUUACAAAAAUAGAAAAAAUCACGAAAAUAGCUUAUUUUUGUAUUUUUACUUUUAACUUCGAAUUUUGUAGUUUUCUUUUAAUUUGGUAAUUAAUUAGUUGUUGUAAAUAUUAUUUUGAAUAACUAAUCUAAUUUGGUAAGAUAAUUUGGUUUAGGAAUUAAUUCAGGUUCUAAUUUUAAUUUUGAAAAGAAAAAGAAUUUUUGAAAAAAAAAAAUUAAAGAAAAGGAAUUGAAAGAGAAGUCUUGUUGGACUGUUUUAAUUAAUUUCCCAUAGGCCCAAUCAGUUUUCACCCUUUAACCGUCCCAAAUAGGCCCAAACCCAUUGUCUUUACCCUGUCCGCCCGCUCAGCUAACCAAACGAUCCUGUUUCCUAUGCUUUCGAUCUAAGUCGUUGAUCUCGUUUGAUGAGACGGCCAAAAACUGAGUCCCAUAAUACAUAUAACUAUCCUGAAAGCCCGACCCCCUCCCUUUUUUCCAUCCCACACAUCGUCUUCUUCUAUUCAGAGACCAUCCCUAAAUCCUAAUGCGCCGCCCCAAUUCUCCAUCAUCUCCGGCCGGCGGCGCCACUCCCAAUCAGUCCCAAAUCAACACCACGACACCCCCAUGAUUUCUCCUCUCCCAAUCUCUAAUUAGUUUCCCCCAAACCAUUUAGAAUCUCUCGAAUCUUCAAUCUCAAAAUUGACCUAAACCCUAAAAUCCCAAAACUCCCAAAUCAUCAAAUGUCAAUAAAGAUUUAGGGUCAAAUUUGAUGUUAUUCGUGUGUUCCCGACGGGAACACAUGAUUAAUUUCAAGCUUGGUCAAAAAUUGAAAGAUUUUGAAGAUAUAUUCAUGACCACUGUCCAAGUUGUCUCUUAGGUAUUUUUCUUUUUCUUUUUUUUUUUCUAUUCGUUUAUCUUUUCUUCAUUUUUCCUUUUAUUUCUCAUACCAUCUUCUUCUGUUUCUUUUCCUUUUCUUUCUUGUUUCUGUUUCGUAAAUCACCUUGGCAUGCAUUUGUUAAUUUAGGUUUGUUUUUAAUCAACAUCUUUAUUAAUUUGUUUGAUUUAUUUAGUUUUAAUUUUUAGCUCAAAUUUCCCUCCUGUUUGGGGUUAUUUAGAACUUGUGGUUCCCAGAGUGCACAUAACACCAAGUUUCCCCUGUAUUGAUUCUUUUUCGGUUGAAUUGGGCUCUGUCAAGCAGAGGCCCAAAGAAAAGGAGAUUAUCCAGGUUUGGUAAACCCAUGUCUAUUUAGCCUUGGGUCCAAAUUGACCCAUAUCUAUGUUGGGGCAAAUAGCAGGAAUUACAAGGGUAUUUUAGGGAAUUUAGGAAAAGGAAUCUUGUAUAACUAACUUAGGAAGCUGCCUAGAAGGUGGGAUUGGGGCUGUUUUAGAAAACUGAUUUUUAAACUAAGGACCAAGUAGCAAAAACGAAAAUUUCAAAGGGAGUAAAGGGAAACAAACUUGACCCAUUUCUGCUGCCCUAAAACUUCACCAUAAAGACAUUGUUUCUUCACUAGCAAGCCAGAUUUUAGAGACUGAAAGACACUAAAAAGAACUUUAGAAACUGCUGAGUUUUUCAAAUGCAACAAUACUGGAAAAUUGCUGAAAAUUAGCUUGGGUUUUCUGGUUCUUUUGUUUCCUUCAGUUGAUUAGAGCUUCUAAGAUUUCCAAAUCGAGCAUCUGGGUUCUAAACUGGUUGAUUUAGUUUGAAAGUUUGAUUGACUUGCUGUGUGGGUACUGUUACAUUGUUGUUGUCCUGCUGUUGUUGCAUUCCCUCACUCCCUUUGCUUUUCUCUUGGUUUUUCCAGGUACUUUUGGGAACUAUGGAAAUCACUUGAGUGUAAUAUGGAAUUUGGAAUUGGAAAUGUGAUAAAAUCAGUGUUGUUUGCUGCUGAAUUUCAUUUCUCAAUCUUUCAAUCUCAGUUACGGUUAUAAUAUUCAGCUCUAGGAAUAUUUUGUUAGCUUAUUUCAUGAUUAUGAAUGUGGUGUCUUAGCGUUAAUUUGAAGUUUAAGCUAUCUGAUUCUCUUGCUUUAGUUGUCCGUUUGGCUGAAACUUGCUAUAGGUGAAAGAAAAUUCCCUGUGUGUUUGCAUUAACAGUCAAGCAUGUGUUGAAUCGAUUAGUUUGUACUUGAAUUUUAUUGGACUUGGUGUUUAAUCUCGGGGCUGUCUAAUUUCAAUUUCUAGUUUUCUGUUGAUAUGGUGUCAGGAAAGUUAAUUGAAAUUUUAAUUUUCGUAUUAUUGUUUAGUUUGGGAUUAAAAUUGAAGUUAAAUGUUAGACAGUUUUGUGGUUGUAUGUCAUUAAUACAUUUGAAUUCAAACAAUGAUUCCUUUUAAAAAUUGUAAUAUGGUUUAGUGAUUCCCCAGCCUUUUUAGUCCUUUGCCGUAUUUGAUGAAGCUUAAUUUGGCUUAGCUUGUAUUUUUAAGUCAAAUACAUACUGUUUUUAUGAAGGGACUCGAUCUUGAGUCCUAGGCUUUCAAUACUUGCCUUCCAUCAGAUGUGGGCUCCCUUUGGGCUUAAACCUUGAGUCCCUUUGAAGGUAGGAGUUCCAGGCCUCUUUGUGUUUGGGCCAGCUCUUUUGAGCCCAUUUCCUUAUUUAAUUUGUUGCUGAAGAUUUAUCCGUAAUAGGCCUAUUUCAAAAAUCUAAAAGCCCCGCAUUUCUCUGUGACCUUUAGUCGUGCAACACUAGCUUUAAUUUGUGUUGUUUAAAAUAGUUCUUUUACCUAAUGUGAGGUGUGCCAUGUGAAAUAACACUAAUAGUUUAUGGCCCUCAAAACUAAAUUUAGAAAUUCUUUUGAUAGAAUAAUUCGAAGCGUGUCAUGCCAACUAAAAUCUCAAAACUCAUGGCCCUCACUUAAUUAUUUUAAACUCAUUAGAAAUCGAGGUGUGCCAUUAGUGAAUUUUCCAUGGCCCUCGAAAACUUGAAAGUACAUAGUUGCUUUAGGCGCGCAAUUUAAAUUAACUUCCUUAAACUCGGGUGUGCAUUUCAUGUGACCCAACUCCAAUUCUCAACAACAUUAAAUAAAAUGUGUCGCGAACCGUAGGUACAUUUCAUGUGGAGUGGUUCAAUGCGUGUUUUAAAUAACGUUGAAUCUUCCUAAAAAUAAUUUAAAAGUGGUUGAUAAGUUAAAAUAUACAACAGGCUAAAACAUGUUUUAAAAUCAAAUAAACAAGUCAAUAAUAAUCGUUGAGCAACCGUGCUAAAAACACAGAAUCCGGGAAUGCCUAACACCUUCUUCCGGGUUAACAGAAUUCCUUACCCGGAUUUUCGUGUUCGCAGACUAUAAAAUAGAGUCAAUCUUUCCUCGAUUCGGGAUUUAAAACCGGUGACCUGGGACACCAUAAAUUAUCCCAAGUGGCGACUCUGAAUAAGAAUAAAUAAUCUCGUUUCGAUUGUCACUUAAAUUGGAGAAACUCCCUUAUACACUUUCGGGUAGAAAAAGGAGGUGUGACAGACGGUUGGAGGAUGUUCUUUGAUGGAGCUGCAAAUUUCAGAGGAGUGGGCAUUGGAGCCGUUUUGGUAUUAGAAAUGGGUCAACAUUAUCCUGUAUCUGCUAAACUCAGAUUUCCCUGCACCAACAACAUGGCAGAGUAUGAAGCCUAUAUACUAGGGGUCAACAUGGCAAUCGACAUGAACGUUCAGGAGUUGCUGGUGAUCGGUGACUCAGAUUUUCUUAUGCACCAGGUGCAAGGAGAGUAGGCCACCAAGAAUUCCAAGAUAUUUCCAUAUCUGCACCAUGUGCAGGAAUUGAGAAAGAGGUUCACAAAGAUAGAAUUCCGUCAUGUGCCCAGAAUUUCGAAUGCGUUUGUCGAUGAAUUGGCCACUUUGUCAUCCAUGAUACAACAUCCAGAUAAGAACUACAUUGAUCCCAUUUUGGUGAGGAUCCAUAAUCAGCCGGCAUAUUAUGCUCAUGUCGAGGAAGAAACCGAUUGAAAGCCUUUGUUCCAUGACAUCAAAGAAUAAUUAUCAAAAGGAGAAUACCCGGAGCAUGCAAAUCACUUAGAAAUUCACGCUCCGGAGAUUGUCACAUCACUUCUUCCACAUCGGAGGGAACUUGUAUAGAAGAACUCCUGAUUUGGGAUUACUAAGAUGCGUCGAUGCAAAGGAAGCUUCUAAGCUACUUGAGGACGUGCAUGCUGGGACUUGUGGUCCGCGCAUGAAUGGUUUCAUCUUGGCAACUAAGAUACUCAGAACUGGUUAUUUUUGGAUGACCAUGGAGAUAGAUUGCAUCCAGUAUGUCCGCAAAUGCUUUCAAUGUCAAGUGCAUGCCGACAUGAUAAAAGUGCCGCCAAACGAGCUUAAUUCAACAAGCUCACCUUGGCCAUUUGCCGCUUGGGGAAUGGAUGUUAUUGGUCCGAUUGAGCCUAUGGCUUCAAACAGACACAGGUGUAUUCUGGUAGCCAUUGAUUACUUCACAAAAUGGGUAGAUGUUGCAUCUUACAAAGUUGUAACCAAGAAAGUCGUCAUAGAUUUUGUUAAGGAUCGUAUUAUCUGCCGAUUCGGAGUUCUUGAGUCCAUUAUUACUAACAAUGUCGCCAACCUCAAUAGUGAUCUGAUAAAAGCUAUAUGUGAAACUUUCAAAAUCAAGCACAAGAAUUCCACCACCUACAGACCUCAGAUGAAUGGAGCCAUAGAAUCCGCCAACAAAAAUAUUAAGAAGAUACUAAGGAAAAUGGUAGAGAAUCACAAGAAGUGGCAUGAAAAGUUACCCUUUGCUCUGUUAGGGUACCCCACCACAGUUCGCACGUCCAUCGGGGAAACUCCCUACAUGCUGGUUAAUGGUACCGAGGAUGACAUCCAAGCCGAGGUGGAGAUUCUUUCGUUAAGAGUUAUAUAGGAAGUUGAACUUAGUGAUGCAGAGUGGAUAAGGAGCCGCUAUGAACAAUUGGCCCUUAUUGAUGAAAAGAGGAUGAAUGCAGUAUGUCACGGCCAAUUUUAUCAGAACAGAAUGUCCAGAUCUUUCAACAAAAAAGUCAAACCAAGACGGUUCGCACCAGGGCAGCUGGUACUCAAGAAAAUCUUCCCACAUCAAGAUGAAGCCAAAGGGAAAUUCUCUCCCAACUGGAAAGGUUCGUACAUGGUUUACAGAGUACUAAUAGGAGGAGUACUCAUACUUGCUUAAAUGGACGGAAAAGUCUGGACAAAACCAAUCAAUUCAGAUGCUCAAAAGAUACUAUGCUUAGAUACUUUAUAUUUCCUCAUUUGAUGUAAUUGAACUACGCUUGACCUAAUUCCCGUUUCAGAGGGGAUACGUAGGCAGCCUUAUGGGUUCGGUCAUAUUAUAAUAAAAUUUUCAUUUCCCCCAAAAUCAAAAACUAGGGAAGAAUUUUGAGGAGGGUCCUCAAAACUUCGGAGCAAGUCCAGCCAGCGCCAUCACAUGCCAGGAAGUCAAUAAUCAGUCAAGAACUGGGGUAGAAUUUUGAGGAGGAUUCUCAAAAUUCCGAAGAAGAUGCAGCAGAGUUUGCCAUCCACAAAUAGUUAAAAAUCAUCUACCAAACUGGGGCAGAAUUUUAAGGGGGACCCUCAAAAUUUCAACAUAAGAGAGAUGCAAUGCCUUUGAAAUGUGUCAUAGUCGCUAGUUCAUCAAAAAAUACUUGAAAUAUCAAUACAUUUCCAAAACAAUUCUAUUUUUAUCAAUGAUUGCUUAUUUUUCGAAAAUUCUAUUUCCAUAACAGUCAGGUGCUACCUAGGGGAACUCGAAGGGGGCUCUCAGAGAGGAGCAGAGCAAGGCCAACAGACAAAGCAAGAACCAACCUCCCCUCAUAUAACUUACAAUUUUUCUUUAAAUGCAGGAGCAUUUGACGUAACGGUAGCAUUCGCGAAACAUGUAUACACAAAGCAAAUUCACCAUUCAUCCAGCCAUCAGACACUGAAUAUAUCUCCAGCUGAGACAUACAAUACCCUUAUCUACUAUUCGCUCUUUGUAUGGGACUAAUCACUAUCCCCCACAUUUGCAUGAGGCUAAUCUUUGCCUCCAUAUUUACAUGAGUCUAUUCCCUGACUCCAUAUUUGCGUAAGGCUAACCCUUUCCUCCUAUUUGCAUGAGUCUAAUAUUUGACUCCACGUUUGCAUGGGUCUAAUCCUUGACUCCAUACUUGCAUGAGGCUAACCCUUGCCUCCAUAUUUGCAUAAGUCUAAUCCUCGACCCCAUCCGUGAAUCCAUAUUUGCAUAAGGUUAACCCUUGCCUCUCAUUUGCAUGAGCCUAAUCUCUGACUCCAUGUUUGCAUGAGUCUAAACCUUGACUCCAUACUUGCAUGAGGCUAAUCCUAGCCUCCAUAUCUGCAUAAGUCUAAUCCUUGACUCCGUAUUUGCAUGAGUCUAGUCCUUGACUCUAUAUUUGCACAAGGCUAAUCCUUUCCUCCCCAUUUGCAUAUGGCUAAUCCUUAUCUCCCCACUUACACGGGACUAAGCAUUUUCCCUCUUUGCACAGAUAUUGCUCCAUUUCUACUACUAUCUAUUUGCUUUUUACUCGGGCUAAGCUCUACCCUCCAUUUCACAAGACUAAGCCUUGUCUUGUUACCUCAUAUUAGUGUAUAUCAUGGUCUGAACCAUCACCAAUCUAUCCGAAGGCGUCAUAAUCUAAAGGCAUCAUUCUCAUAGCCGGAAGACAUCAUACCAUGGCCUAAGUAUCCAUCAAUCUUGCAUAUCAUUAUUCAUAGGCGUCAUGGUUCAGAGGCACCAUUUUCAUGGAUCUAGAACACCAUUUCAUGGCCUGCGAAUCCCUCACUAAACAAUUCAUGGCACAGGACGUCAUCUUUAACCGUCCGAAGACAACCACCAUGGUCCGAAGGAAAUCUGCAUCAUGUUUAAUUUUUUGCAAAUACGUUUGUAGAAUCUUUUAUCUGCAGGUAACCAGUAAGCAACCGCUAUCCUAGUAGGAGAAAUCUCUCUCUAGUUCCCUCCAACCGUCCCGAGCCUUAACCGCUCAUCGUAGCCGCUUCCGCAUGUCGUGUCCGUUCUUGCAAUAAUUUCAUCAGUUUACUUCGCAGGUGAAUCCAGAACUACACAUGUCCUGAUUUUUGUAAAACUAGGGAUAUGUAGGCAACUCAAAAAUUAGAGUUCGGCCUCUACCUUUCAAAACAUCCCAUCCGAUCAAAAUUGGUCAUCAUUUCUUUACUCGAAACUUUCUCAUCCUUCCUGGGUAAAAAAAGGCAACUGUUGAUACCCAAUUUUUUCCUAUAUAUUUUGUAUAUGCAUAAAUACCUUUGAAAUAGCAUAUAUAUGCAUAUAUAAGCAUGCACAAGAUUUUUAUAAUUUUUUCAAUAAAUUUAAGGAUUUAAAUUGAUUUAUUUCCUCCCCUUUUUAUUCAUAAAAUCCCAAUAAUUAUUCCCCAAAUUAUUGUUAUGGUGAUUUAUUCAUUCAAUUUCUAUACUUAUACCAAAAUAUGGUUAAUAUAUUUUUUAUGCAUUUUGAUUAUUGCAUUUGGUAUUUUUUAUGCUAAAUUGCAUAUAAUUGCAACGUUAGCCCAUUUAAUGUAUAAUUACUUUUUAUAUGCGUAAAAUCUGUCCCUGUAUUUUUAAAAUGAUAUAUAUAUAUAUAUAUAUUUAAAAUAAUUUUGGUACAUAAAAUUAUUUUUGAGAAAUUAUUUAUUAUUUAUUAUAAAUUAAAUAAGGAAAAUUGGCUAUUUAAAUUAUAGCCAGAUUUGGCUUUAAAUUGUAGCCUAAAUCGGACCCAACCCCAGCCCAAUUUCAUACCUGAUUACCCGACCCAGGCCCUAUACACAUCUACCCGACCCGGAAUCUAUUAAAUCCUAGCCGUUGAUCUCACAGAUCAACGGCCCGUAUCACUUCUUACCUUUUUUAAUUCCUACAACCCCUAACCCUAUCUCAUUUCUGAAAUUCCGCCGCCCUCAAAUCCUCUCAUCUCCUCUCUUCUCUCAACCUAACCCUAGCCUCUUUCAACUGCCUCCCUUCUCUUUUCUUCUCUAGUGACCACCCUUCAACCCCAAGCCUUCAAUGGCUCCUCUUUUGCCAUGCUCAUCUUCUCUGAGGCCUUCAAGGGCCCUGGGUCACACCGACUUGCAUCUGGGGUUUGCCAUCUGGUCUGUUAUUGUCUAUUUCAGUAUGAUUCCAGGUGAAAUCCUGAUAUACUUGUUACGAUCCUUCAGGUUUUGACAGGUUCUUUCGUUUAUACUUGGGUUUCUUCUGAAAUCCUAUUUCUUGCUUACAUCUCUUAGGUCUUCUUUGUUUUGGCUAUGUUUGUUAGCAUGACUACUCGAUUCUUGUUAAGUUUUUGUGGUUACCGUGCUUCGAAUAGGCUUUACUGAGUCCUUAGCCUACUUAUAUCACCUCUAUGUGAUUAUAUUCAUCUUGAUUGUUCAAGACUUGCCUCUUUCUGUCGAUAUUGUUGACCUUGCAUGUUUGCUACUUCUUUUGUUCUUCUCUAUUUAUAUGUUGAUUAUAGAAUCAUAACUUCCUCUUGAUUGAUUCUGAUUUCCUUAUUUUAUGGUUUGAUUGAAAGAUUUUCUUUUAAUCCCUAAAUUUCUACCUCGCCUGUUUAAAUUGACUGAUCCCCAUACCUUAUUUGUUGUGGUGCUUUAUUAUUACUGAACCAUUUCCUUAAUUGAAGUUUUCUGAACUUAGUCCUAAUUGACUACCCUAUGCUUGCGGAACUUUGAUUCUUUCCUUAUUAGUCAUAUACUAAUUUUCUUGCCUUAUAUGCUACUGGUUCUUACCGUUUGAAUUAAUUCUCUUAACUUAAGGGAGUACUUGCCUUGAUUUUCUGACGGACUAAUUCUGAGUGAGUACUUGCCUUGAUUUUCUGACGGACUAAUUCUGAGUUCCUUAAUUAUUAUGCUACUAUGAUUCUUACCUUAUUUACUACCUGCUUUCAAACUAUAUAUACCCAAGUCUUUCAUUAGCACAACACAUGAACCCUUGGUUCAAAACUAUCUCUCACACUCAAACUUACUGCUCUCUCUUUUGUACUACUUGCUACAGCUUUAAGUUUGCCGGCUGCAAGCCAAGGCUAACCAUUUAUGUUCUCUUAUUCUUUCAUUCUACUCACUAUCCUCUUUACUGGUAUGUUCUAGUUUCAAUUCAAAGUUCCAAAAACAAUAUGAUUCUCUUAUUGCUUCAGUUCAUUUUGCUCCUAGUUUGCUUCUAUUUGUGGUUUUGUUGUGAAACUUGUAGUUGAUGGUUACAUUAUUAGCAUGUUAUUGUGUCUUCCCCUUCCUUGAGAUCAACAUACUCCCCCUUUAUGUGUGUUUCUGAGCUUGUCUUACCAGGUAUCGCUUACUUGUUGUGUACUUACCACCAUAUACUCCAUGAAUCCCCAAAUCCCUAUCACCCCUCUAUGUGGUUGUAUUCUUCAUGUCUGGUUUUGUGACUAUGCUAGGGUUAGCUAUUUCUGAGCAUGCUAAACCAGUCCUAGAUCUUUGCUAGGUUAUGUGUUUGUAGUCAAUUGUUCUAUGUAUCCCAAAACCCAUGUGUGUGACUACUGAAUUUACUUGGUUCUGUGAACUAGCUAUGUAUAAACCUGUCCAAAGGUGUUUUGAAUUCUGUUCAUCUCUUCAAACAGUCUUUGUUGUUUUACUACAUUAUUUUUAAACAGACUUUUGUUUUAAUACAAUAUUUUUUACUAAAACCUUUUAACUUGUGUCAAUCACUUUUUGCUCUACUCUUACUCAAUAAGUUCUACCCCCUCCAGUAUGUGUACUGCCUUGGGAUCCUUUUGAGAACCCUCUGAACUAUGACAUACUGAGGUUGGCCCUUCCACACUGCACUUGUUCAAUUCUUGGUUUCCAAGUCUAGGUGUAAGCAUUGCCCGGGAUCCUUGAGAUCCUUAGGAAACUUUGAUGAACCUAGACUAUGUCAUUGUCUAUGGAAUUGAGGCAUUUGAGGUCAUUGGAGGCUUUGGAAUCUGGGCCUAAAUGAAGGCUCCCUAUAGAAUAGCUUCUUAGUUUUCUUAUUUACUUAUGUAAUUCAUUCAUUGGUCUGUAAUAACUUGUAAAUAAAUAUUGGGGUAUUUAGUGAAAGGGUGGGUAGAUACAUGUUUUAUGGGGUAAUUUAGGUAGAAAUCAUGCUCAUAGGACUUUAGUUUUUAAUUUGAUUGCUUUGCCAAAUAGAAAUCAUUCCCAUAUGACCUUACUUUUAAAUUUAUUUGCUCUACUAAAUAGAAACCAUGUUUACAAGGCUUUACAUCAUGUCAUGUUUAGAAACCAUGCCUAUAGGAUUCGGAUAAUUUCGUAAUAAGAAUCAUGUUUUCAUUGUCUUAAAAUCAUAUUAACUAAUAGAUACCAUGCCUAUAGGAUGUGAUUUAACCCAGAUUCAGUUAUAACGAGUGUUAUGUAUGCUAAUCAUUAAAAUCAGUAUUACACUUAUAUAUCAUGCCUAUAGGGAACCAUAUUCGAAAUUCUUCCAAUCUAAUAAAUCUAAUUAGUCCACGUUUAGUCAUUUCUGGAUUAGUUUAAUUAAGUAUUUCGUAUUUCCUGAAACAAAUUCCUUAAAACUGUCUCAAACUAUUAUUAGAUAUCACGCUUAUAGGUAUUAAAGAAGUCUGUUUCAAAACUUGCUUUGUUUUUAUACAAGUGUACUAAUCAAUGCUCCGCGUAUAGGCAAGCCCUUAGGCAAUUGCUAGGGUUAUACAAGUGUACUAAUCUAUAGGCAAUUGCUAGGGUUAUCAUUUCUGAGUCUAAAAUAAGUUGUUUGUUUCUGCAUAUUCACCUAGAUACCCUGCCUUAGGACACUGUCUAAUGAAAGCCCUUAAUUGUGCUCGAUUCGUGUUGUUUAUGUGCUUGUUUGAGGAGGAAACUUUGAGUCUCUAAUUGCUCCAUUUAUGUGCUGAAAGUCCUGAGUGUUUUUUAUUGUCGCCUUAGAAUUUUAACCUUUUAAAACCUUAGGGGUCCGUCUAUAACCACCUAUAGGUAGAGGUCCUAACUCCCUCCAGGACCAUUAAGAAGGGACGGGUAGCAGCACGUAAUAGAAAUCGUUGACCAAAUACUCGCUUGCAUGACCACUAAGGGAAUGGGAAGGGUAGAUAUGGGAUAUGAUGACUACGCGUUAAUGUCACGUGUAGCCCCUAAUUGAGGAGUGUUUACCGGACAUUGUGUGGGGUGAUCCUAUAGGAUAACCAACCUAGGACCCCUCUUUACCAAAUUCUUUUUUAUUUAAACCUUUGUUUUACAACUUGUCCAAAUCUUUAUCUUAUUACUUGACUUAUCCAACGUGUUUUACUUGCAACCUAUUUGAUUCAAUUGUUUACUUGUAAUGGAUUAAUUUGUGAAUAUAUGUUCGGCUGGGACCCACAGUUGUGGACCAAGAGGGGUGCCUAACACCUUCCCCUCGAGGUUACUUCGAGCCCUUACCCUAAUCUCUGGUAAUGCAAACCAACCUAAGAGUUAAUCACUCUAGGUGCCCUAACGUACCAUAAUCCGUUAGGUGGCAACUCUUCCAAUACCCAAUUCCCAAACGGAAAUGAGUCAUUACACCCCGUGAAUGUCGAAACCCGGACUUUCCCGUCAAAAAGGGAAAAAAGGGGAUGCGAUAAGGUGUAACUCUUAGUUUUUGAUGUUAUUUUAGUGUUCCGAUCGCGCGAUCAAGUAUGUAUAGUAUUGGUUGAAUGAUGUGGGUAUUUGGAGUGGAACCUCGAGGGCUCGGGUAAGUUUCGGAGUGAAGACACUCCAGUUGUCUGGUAUUUCUAGGCAGCUGCUGCAAGUCUCGCAAAUGCGAGGAUUUGUUCGCAUUUGCGACAAACGCAUUUGUGAGGAAAGCUUCACAAUUGCGAAGAAGCCUGAGCUGGGCAGCGAUCGCAUUUGCGACAUUUUUUAUCGCAUUUUCGAACCCAGCAGAGUCUGCAUUUGCAACCAUUUUGUCGCAUUUACGACCCUUAUAGAGGGAGCCCAUGUUCGCAUUUGUGAUGCUUUUGUCGCAAUUGCGGUCUUCGCAUUUGCGAACUAGAUGUCGCAAAUACGACAUUUGUGGCUUGUGCACAACCUUUAAAAAUGGGACUUAGGCUAUUUAUUUCAUUUCACUUCUACAAUUAGGUGAUUUUCAGAGCUUUUGGAAGUGGGCUUUCACCUAGCACUUUGAGUUUCGGAUUGUGCGGCUUCGGUUUGAGGGUUCGAGCGCAUUCUUGAGUUGGAAGUAGGCUCAAAUGAGGUAAGUCUCUUUUCUAAACUUGUAAGAGGGAAAUUUUCCCAUAGGUGAACUUAAUUAAUAUGUGAUUAAUUGCGGGUGCUAAGUACGCGCAAAGUGACGAGAGUCUGUAUGUAGCUACUAUUUCUGUUAUUGUUCGGGUAGUUCUAGGAUUACACCAUGCUUUGUGGACACUACUAUAUGAUUAUAUGCGCUAAUUGUAAGAAAGUAAUUAAGUUGAAGAAAAUCUAAAGAUUCAAAUGCUUCAAGAGAAUUGUCUUCUUUUUUGAAAAAGAAUCAAGGAAGUAUUGUGUUUUAAAUGAUAAAGAUUACGUUUGAUCGCGUCGCAUGGAUAUCGCGAGCGGGAUUAUGCUUUUACCUCAUUGCAUGCAUGAUUCAUGAGCAAGGUGAAUAGAUGCAUCUAUGGUUCGCGUCGUUCGACCCUCGGCCGUGCACAUUUUACUUUUAUGUUGGAUCGGGCCGAACGUCCUUGGUGGUAAUUGUGUGUGAUAAUAGAACGGAGAUACUUUGUAGUUGUAUGCUUCAUUCCUUGAUACUUUACAUUAUUUAAAUAAAGAAAGUGCCUUGCCUUAUUUAAUAUGAUGGAGGAAAUUCCUCGGUUAUUGCUCUGGUUUAAGCUUGACUGUUAUCUAUAUACAUUAUGCUUAAAGUUAUUGGAAUUUCACAUUAUAUAUUGUUGGCCCUAGUAAGUGUCUAAAUUGACCCCUCGUCACUACUUCUUCAAAAUUAGACGAGAUACUUAUUGGGUACAUAUUUCUAUGUACUCACGCUACACUUCUGCACUUGAUUGUGCAGGCUUUGAGGCAAGGGCAUCUGGCCACCAGUCUGGUGCAUAGAGUGGACUUCUCAGCUUGAGACUUUCUGGUGAGCUACCCUUUUGUGUCGUUCUGCAGCUGCUAGAGCCUUUUUUUGUAUUUAUGUUUUCUAUCUAUUCCUUUUCCAGAGAGUAGGAAAGUAUGGUGAUGUAUAUUCUUAUAGAUUUCCCACACACUUGUGGUACCAGGUCUUGGAACACACAUUAGUAGAAUUAUGAUGUUUUGGCUUGUUUUCAUGAUUGAGAUGCGCAUUUACCUCUUUCAUUAAAUAUGCUUAAGUUUUUAAGAUAAUAAAUUUCUUAAACCUAUAAUGGAAGUUAUCACGUACUAGCUACAUAAAUAAGGAUUUACUAUUCGAUUAGUGUUGUCUUGCCUAACAACAGUGUUGGGUGCCAGCAUGGUCUAAUAUGGAAUUUGGGUUGUGACAACAUGGUAUCAGAGCACUAGGUUCACGUAGGUCUCACAAGUUAUGGGAAAAUCUAGUAGAGUCUUGAGAAUCGGUAUGGAGACAUAUGUACUUAUCUUCGAAAUGUCAUAGGGUGUUAGGAAACUACUCUUUAUUCAUCUUCUAUCGUGCAGUAGAUGGUAUACUAAGAUGUCUUCUUCUAUUCUCUCAUAGAUGGUGAGGACGCAUACGGCGGACGUUCUAGACAAGGGAGGAGCCGAUCACCCCGUUACUGAACGCCGAGGUAGAGGCCGGGGGAGGGAACUAGUCCGAGGUUGGGGACGAGGGUGUCCCAGGGCUUCCCCAAUUGCACCACCAAUGAAUCCAGCAAGGGAUCCCAUUAUUGAGGAUCAAGGUGAGGUGCCCGCAGCAGCGCCUGCCAUGGCGGAUUUCAUGAUGGCACCAGGCUUUUAGGAGGUCAUAGGUCAUAUGUUGUGGUUCAUAGACUCUAUGACCCAGGCUGGUUUAUUUCCAGCAGGCCCAGCCACAUCUCAUGCAGGAGGGGGAGCACAGACCCCUACUUCUCAGGCUCUUGGGCACGCAUCUUCCAUAUAUCAAACUCCGGGUACUCUACCCGCAGGCAGUGCUCAGCCAAUUGCAGUAAUGGUAUCUGAUCCUAGACCAGCUACGGACGGUGACCCACAAAAGUUAUUGUACAGAUGGACAAGGCUACACCCUCCUAUAUUCGGAGGCCUGCAUCAUGAGAAUGUCCAGGAUUUCAUUGACAGGUGUAGGGAAAGACUGCACAACAUGAGGAUAUUGGAGUCCCAUGGAGUAGAUUUUACCACUUUGCAGUUAUAGGGCAGGCCCCGUAGAUGGUGGCAGUCUUACCUUCUCGGUAGACCAGUAGGUUCUCCUCCCAUGACUUGGUGUUAGUUUACAUAGCUUCUAUUGGACAAGUAUAUUCCACCCUCUCAUAGGGAAGAGUUAUGGUGUCAGUUUGAGCUGCUCGAGAAGGGUCAGAUGUCUGUGACCGACUAUGAGGCGAAAUUCUAUGAGUCGUCUCGCCAUGCACUCAUGAUACUUCCUACGGACGCAGAGAGAGUGCAGAGAUUUGUUGCGUGGUUACACCCCGGUAUUCAAGCUAGCAUGGCCUGAGAGGUUGAGAUGGGGACUGAGUAUUAGCUAGUUCUGGAGAUUACUCGAAGGAUUGAGGGUUACCGACAGAGGGGUAGAGAGCAGUUGCAGCAAGAUAAAAUGACCCGAUUCUCUAGAGUGUUUAGAGGUGCCCCAGCUAGGGGCAAAGUAUAGUUUGGGAGGGGUCAGCCCACCAGGCCCCCAUAUUCAGCACCACCACUACCUCCUCGAGGUGCUCUAGUGAGGCUUUAUUUUAGUGCGAUGCCGGAGAGUUCUUAGUACCCACCAGCUAUUCAGAGUUCGUCUGGCGGGUAUUCUAGUCAUCAGGGUUCUUCUAGUGCUUACUUCAGUGCCAUGCCGGAGAGUUCUUACUACCCACUAGCCAGCCAUUCAGGGUUCCUCUAGUGGGUAUUCAGGCCAUCAGGGUCAGCCAUCGAGUCAGCAGUCUAUGGUACCGAGGAGUUGUUACGAGUGUGGAGAUCUGGGGCACAAAAAGAGGACCUACUCCAGACUUUGCGACAAGGCAAUACAGCAGGGUCAUCAGCCUAUGAUUGCAGUAUUAGUCGUCCAGCCGCCCAGAGGUAGGGGACAGGUUGGUAGGGGCCGUCCUAGAGGUGGAAGCCAGGAAGGGGGAGUUCAGUUAGCUAUUAUUCAGCCAGUCGGCGCACCAGCUAGAUUCUAAGCUUUUCCAGCCAGAAUAGAUGCAGUGGCCUCAGAUGCUGUGAUCACAGUUAUUAUUUCUGUAUGCGGUAGGGAUGAUUCGGUAUUAUUUGAUCUAGGGUCUACAUAUUCAUAUGUGUCAUCUCUGUUUUCUCAUUUCUUGGAUAUCCCUUGUGAGUCUUUGGGUACUCCUAUUUAUGUGUCCACUCCUGUGGGCGAUUAUAUGGUCGUGGAUCGGAUCUACCGGUCCUGUGUGGUUACAUUCUGUGGGUUCGAGACUAGAACAGACCUUAUGUUACUUGAUAUGAUUGACUUUGAGGUUAUCCUAGGCAUGGAUUGGUUAUCUCCAUAUCACGUCAUUCUUGAUUGUCAUCCCAAGAUUGUUACUUUAGCGAUGCCUGAGUUGUCGAGAUUGGAGUGGAAGGGUUCCUCUGUUAGUGCAUCCAGUCAGAUUAUCUCAGGCAGGUGGAUCUCCUGGGAUAUCGUUCCGUAGUCCUAAAGUAAGCACACAACCAUCGCAGAAGAAUAUACAGUUCUAUUCAAGAAUUAAACAAGAAAUUUCUACUCUAACAUGCUACACAGAGUACAAGUAGGCUAUUAAAGCAGGUAAGACAAUUAACUCACGUAAGCAUGCUUUUCCUAAUCUAAAUAAGAGGCUUCAAGUACAAGUAUUUUUUAAAAUUACAAUAAACAUAAGUAUUAGCUUAAUGAAAACGAGAUUUUCAACAAAUAGCAUGUGUACGCACUCGUCACCUUACGUACAUGGCACUCAUAUAACAAAAUACUAAAUCCUAAGGGGAGUUCCCCCAUACAAGGUUAAGCAAGCGACUUAACUCGAACCAGCUCAACCAACUCGAAAUCACGUUCUUGCCACGAGUACCCGACUCCAAAUGGCCCAAAUCUAUUCAAAGUAAUUGCAAAAUUUAAAUAUAACUACAAAAACUAAUUUAGUUAAUGAAAUAAAAGCUAAGGCAAGAAAAUAGAAAAACACCCAAAAAUCCUCCCCGGGCCCACGUCUCAGAAUCGGGUAAAAAUUACUGAUUAUGAACUCACAUUCACUCACGAGUCUAGACACGCUAAAAUUACUCUAAUCCGUUACCAAAAUCUUGAUCAAAACCCCAAAAUUAGGCCUAAGAACUUUUCCAAAUUUUCCCCCAAUUUCUUACCCCAAAUUUGAAAUUAGAUGAUGAAUUCAUGUUUAGAUUAAUGGGUUAUAAGCAAAGAUGAGUUAAGAAUCAUUACCCGCAAACUCCCUCCGAAAAUGCUUCCAAAAUUCGUCUUCUACUGAGCUCUCAAUUCAAUUUUGUGAUAUGAGCUCAAAACCCUUGAUUUUGAACUUUAUGUUCUACCCAGAGGCGACCUUAAUCGCGAUCGCGGAAGCUCUCAUGCGAUCACGAAGAGCAACUUUGCUGGCUCCUAGAUUUACCUUACGCGAACGCGAUGCUUGCAUUGCUCAAGUCUACGUAAUCGUGGUUGACCCCACGCGAUCGAGAAAAGAAACUCCCAUUCCACAGAUGCCUCACUUCUUCUUCUAUGCGAAAACAGCAUAACCCACACGUUCGCGAUUCAACUAUCUACCAAUACUACGCAUUUGCAUUCCUUUUUCCGCGAUCGCGUAGAACAAAGUUCCCUCUGCCUCAGCUAAGUCUUUGUGAUCGCAAGCCUCCUCAUGCGAUCGCAACGAAGGGAAGUCUGCAACAAAAAAACCAGAAAAAUCUUAUCCUACUCCAAGUCCAAAAAUGGCCCGUUGAGCAUCCGAAACACACCUGAGGCCCCCGAGACCUCAACCAAACACAUCAACCAAUCCUAAAACAUCAUACGAACUUAGUCUAACCCCCAAAUCAUAUCAAACAAAGCUUAAACCAUGAAUCACCCUCCAAUCCAAAUCUUAAGAACUUGAAAUUUCAAGAAUCCUACAACCAAUGCCGAAACAAACCAAACCAAGUCUGAUUGACCCCAAAUUUUGCACACAAGUCACAUUCAACACUACAGAGUUAUUCCAACUUUCGGAGUCGGAUUCUGACCUCGAUAUCAAAAUCUCACUAUUGAUCCGGAAACUUCAAAAAUUUAACUUUCGGCAUUUCAAGUCUAAAUAAGAUACGGACCUCCAAAACACAAUCCGAACACACCUCUAAGCCUGAAAUCACCCAACGGAGCUAACGGAAUCGACGAAAUUCCAUUCUGAGGCUGUCUUCACACUGCUUCGACUACGGUCCAAAUUCUAAAGGUUAAACUCUUAUUUAGGGACUACGUGUCCCAAAACACUCCGAAACUCAAAACGAAUCAUCCCGGUAAAUCAAAAUAGUAGAAAUAAACACGGGGGAAGCAGUUAAUAGGGGAUCGGGGAGUUAAUUCUUAAAACGAUCGGUCGGGUCAUUACAUCCUCCCCCUUUUAAAACAUUUGUUCGUCCUCCAACGAGCAUAGAGACAUACCUGAAGUGGUGAAAAAAUGAGGGCAACGGCUGCGCAUAUCUUGCUCGGUUUCCCAAGUAGCCUCCUCGACUAACUAACCCCGCCACUGAACCUUCACUGAUGCAAUGUUCUUUGACCUCAGCUUCCGAACCUGCCUAUCCAAUAUUGUCACUGGCUCCUCAAUAUAAGAUAGAUCCUUGUCCAAAUGAAUUGAACUGAAAUCCAAUAUGUGUGACGGGUCGCCGUGAUACUUCCGGAGCAUCGAAUCAUGAAAUAACGGAUGAACUCCUGCCAAGCUGGGAGAUAAGGCAAGCUCAUAAACAACCUCCCCAACACAUCUCAAUAUCUCAAAAGGACCAAUAAAACUCGGACUCAAUUUCCCCUUCUUCCAAAUCUCAUAACGCCUUCUAUAGGCGAAACCCGAAGCAAGACCUGCUCUCCAACCAUAUAGGAAACAUUACGAACCUUUCGAUCCGCAUAACUCUUCUGUCUGGACUGGGCUGUACGAAGUCUAUCCUGAAUCACCUUAACCUUCUCCAAGGCAUCCUGAACAAAGUCUGUGUCCAAUAAUCUAGCCUCACCCAGCUCAAACCAACCCACCGGGGAUCUACACCUCCUACCAUACAAAACCUCAUAUGGUGCCAUAUGAAUGUUGGACUGAUAACUGUUGUUGUAGGCAAACUCCGCCAGCUGCAAGAACCGAUCCCAAGAACCUCUAAACUCCACCACACACACACAGAACAUAUCCUUAAGAAUCUGAAUAGUGCGUUCGGACUUUCCAUCCGUCUGGGGCUGAAAUGUUGUGCUCAACUCCACCCGAGUACCCAACUCAUGUUGUACGGACCUUGAAAACCGUGAUAUGAACUGAGUACCUCUAUCUAAAAUGAUGGAAACUGGAAUGCCAUGCAGACGAACAAUCUCCCGGAUAUAAAUUUUUGCCAACCACUCCGAAGAAUAGGUAGUACACAUAGGAAUGAAUUGCACGGACUUGGUUAGUUGAUCCAAAAUCACCCAAAUAGUAUUCAACUUCUUCAAAGUCCGCGGGAGUCCAACUAUGAAGUCCAUGGUUAUCCGCUCCCACUACCACUCUGGAAUCUCUAUCUGCUGAAGCAACCCACCCGGUCUCUGAUGCUCAUAAUUUACCUGCUAACAAUUGAGGCACCGAGCUACAAACCCAACUAUAUCCUUCUUCAUUUGCCUCCAACAAUAGUGUUGCCUCAAAUCCUAGUACAUCUUCGCGGUACCCGUAUAUAUGGAAUACCACGAACUAUGGGCCUCCCCUAGAAUCAACUCCCGAAGCCUAUCAACAUUGGGUACACAUACCCGACCCUGCAUCCUCAAUACCUCGUCAUCACCAAUAGUCACAUCUCUAGCAUCAUCGUGCAGAACCUUGUCCUUGAUGUCGAGCAAAUGAGGGUGAUCAUACUGACACUCCCUAAUACGAUCAAAUAAGGUAGACCGACAGAUCACGCAAACUAGAACCCGACUGGGCUCCGAAAGAUCCAAUCUCACAAACUGGCUGGCUAAGGCCUGAACAUCCAUCGCCAUAGACCUCUCCGCUGCUGGUAGAUAAGCCAAACUCUCCGCUCGGCGACUCAAAGCAUCGGUCACCAUAUUGGCCUUGCCCGGGUGAUACAAGAUAGUGAUAUCAUAGUCCUUCAGGAGCUCUAAUCAUCUUCUCUGGAACAAAUUAAUAUCCUUUUGCUUGAACAGAUACUGGAAACUUUGGUGAUCAAUAUAGAUCUCAUAAGGAACACCGUACAAAUAAUGACGCCAGAUCUUCAAGGUGUGAACAAUAGCAUCUAACUCGAGAUCAUGGACAAAAUAAUUCUUCUCAUGUACUUUCAAUUGUCUGGUCGCGUAGGCAAUCACCCUACCAUCCUGCAUCAAUACCUCUCCAAAUCCAAUCCUCGAGGCAUCACAAUAGGCGGUAUAAAACCCCAAACAUGUAGGCAAUAUCAAUACUGGGGUUGUAUUCAAAGUUGUAUUGAGCUUCUGGAAGCUCGCCUCACUCUCUUCCGUCCAGUGGAAAGGAUCACCCUUCUAGGUCAGCCUGGUCAUAGGUGCUGCAAUAGAUGAAAACCCCUCAACAAAUCGACGGUAAUAACCCGCCAAGCUAAGAAAACUGCGGAUCUCUGUAGCUGAGGAUGGUCUAGGCCAACUCGGCACUGCUUCCACUUUCUUCGGAUCCACAUGUAUACCCUCACUCGAUACCAUGUGACCCUAGAAUGCCACGGAAUCCAACCAAAACUCACAUUUCGAGAACUUUGCAUAUAACUUAUUUUCCCUCAAAGUCUGGAGCACUGUCCUCAGAUGUUACUUAUGAUCCUCCCGACUCCGGGGGUAUACCAGAAUAUCAUCAAUAAAGACAACGAUGAACGAGUCAAGAUAUGGUCGGAACAUACUGUACAUAAAAUGAUGAAGGUUGCUAGGGCAUUGGUUAGCCCAAACGAAAUAACAAGGAACUCGUAAUGAUCAUACCGAGUCCUAAAAGCAGUCUUCGGGAUAUUUGGCUCCUGAAUCUUCAACUGAUGGUAACCUGAACGCAAGUUAAUCAUAGAGAACACUCGUGCACCCUGUAACUAGUAAACUGAAUCAUCAAUACGAGGCAAAGAAUACCGGUUCUUCACUGUAACUUUGUUCAACGGACGAUAAUCAAUGCACAUACGCAUAGAACCAUCCUUUUUCUUUACAAACAAGACAGGAGCACCCCAAUACACUCGGCCGAAUGAAGCCCUUAUCAAGCAAUUCCUGUAACUGAUCCUUCAAUUCCUUCAACUCAGGAGGGGCCAUACGGUACGGAGGAAUAGAAAUGGGUUGUGUGCCCGGUAAUAGAUCAAUGCAAAAAUAAUAUCCCUAUCGGGUGACAUACCCGGAAGAUCAGCUGGAAACACAUCGGUGAAGUCUCGUACUACUGGGACUGAAUCAACUAUUGGGAUAUCCAUACUAACAUCUCUCACAUAGGCCAGAUACGCAUCACACCCCUUCUCAAUCAUUCGCUGAGCCUUAAGGAAAGAAAUAACUCUACUGGGAGUAUGAUCAAAAAGUACCCCUCCACUAUACUCGUGACACACCUGGCAUAGCCAGCGUCACGGUUAUGGCGUGACAAUCAAGAAUAGUAUAAUGGGGCAAUAAUCAGUCCAUGCCCAAGAUAACAUCGAAAUCUACUAUACUAAGUAAUAAUAGAUCGGCUUUGGUCUCAAAACCACUAAGAGCAACCAAACAUGACUGAUAAAUGCGGUCCACAACAAGAGAAUCCUCCACAGGAGUAGAAACAUAAAUAGGGAAACUCAAAGAAUCCCGAGAUACGCCCAAAUGCGGGGGAAAAUAAGAAGACACAUAGGAAUAAGUGGAGCUUGGAUCGAAUAGAAUCGAUGCAUCUCUAUGACAAACCAGGACAAUACAUGUGAUAACAGAACCGAAGGUGACAACGUCAGUACGGGCAGGAAGAGCAUAAUAUCUGGCCUGGCCUCCCCCUCUAGGGUGACCUGUACCUCCCCGACCUCCACCUUUAGCGGGCUGAGCAGAUGGGAAAGCAACUGGUGCUGGAACCAUAGCCUUGGAACUCUGUGGGGCACGUUGUGGCUGAGUAGUCUAUGGAGGUGCAACCCUCCUAAGUCUGGGGAAAUCCCUCACCAUAUGGCGUGUGUCACCACACUCAAAACAAGCUAUGGGAGGACGUAGUGGCUGUGACUGGCUCGGGCCAGGUCUGCUGGACAGAAAACUGAAAGUACCUCGUGCAGGAGGCACACUAGAUACUGGAGGUGCAUAAUAAGGCUCCUGAGGUCUAGAAAGAGCUGGAAUACCACUUGCUAUUGGAAGAUCUGAAUGAACGAGGCGACUCAUAUAAACCCUACCAUGACGAACUGCAGCUAGAGCACGGGUACCAAAAUAAUGGCCCGACUAUGAGACCUUUUGGCCUCCCUCUCCUCUCUAUCCCAAGCAUGCAUACCCUCCACUCUCCUAGCAAUGCUCACCGUCUACUGAUAAGAAAUAUUCAUCUCCAACUCACGAGCCAUGCUAGAUCCGAUGCUGGGAAUGAGCCCCUCAAUAACCCAGCGAACUCUCUCAUGAAUUGUAGCAACCAAGGCUGGUGCAUGCCUAGCCAAGUUAGUAAAACAGACAUAAUACUCCAAAACAGUCAUAGUGCCCUGGCGCAAAUGCUCAAACUCUAUGCGUCACGCCUCACUAAGGCUCUUAGGGACGAACUCUCUCAGGAACAUAUCUGAAAACCGAGUCCAAGUACGGGAUGCUGCCUCAGCUGGACUAUCCAACUCAAAAGUACACCACCACUGGUAGGCUGCUCCUCGAAGCUGGAAGGCAGUGAAAGAAACCCCACUCGAUCCUGAUAUACCUAUAAUGUAGAAGAUAUGGUAACACUCCUCCAGAAAUCCCAGGGCAUCAUCUGAUGCUAAACCACUGAAUAUAGGAGGCUUAUACUUCUUAAACAUCUCAAACCUCCGUUGCUCAUCCUCUAAAGUUGCUGCCCUGUCCUUAGGCUGAACUGGGGCUGCAGGCGGAAUCGGUAUAACCUCUGGGAUCUGAUCAACCUGGACCCGCUGCUCAGGAGUGCGGGCGGCGGGAGUUUGUACUCCUCCCUCGACCUGAGAUGUGGUUGCAGCAAGGGGAAUCAACCCUGCCUGUGCUAGGGUGGUGUACAUACUCACGAACUGUGCAAGAGUCUCCUGAAGAGCUGGAAUAGUAGUAGCAGUAGGCGUAUCAGGUGCCUGGACUCCGGCUGGAGCUGCUGAUGGCUCCUUUAUGGCAGUUCGUGCGGGUGCUCUGGCUGCACCAUGAGCGCGUCCUCAACCUCUACCCCGGCCCCGACCUCUGACGGCUCUAGCAGGGGGCGCGGGUGCCUGGUCAUCUCUAGUAGCACGUGUCCUCACUGUCUGUGAGAGAAUAGAAGACAAAAGUUUCGAAUUGUGAUACCAAAAUCUCGCGCGACAAGGAAUCAAAUGAAGUGGAAUUUUCCUAGCAGUUACAUAGCCUCUUGUGGAUAAGUACAGAUGUAUUCGUCUACGAGACUCUAAUAAAUUGGCUUGUGAUUUAUGACUCCUAUGAACCUAGAGCUCUGAUACCAACUUGUCACGACCCAAGUUUGCCCUUCAUGAUCUGUCGUGACGGCACCUAGUCUGUACGACUAGUUAAGCCUAAUAAUUUGCGGAAAAAGAAAAGCAAAAGAUGAAACUAGCCAGAAACUGCGGAUAAAACAUAAAUAAAAUGUUUAAGAUGCCGCUCGGCAUAUACAAAUAUAAACUCUCAAACUGAAUCAACUCCCAAAAUCCAAAAUCUCAUGAAAUCACAAGCUAUUGAAUCACUUCAAGUGUUCUAACUCCAGAAUGUCUAAACAAAAGUAAAUACAGGAGAGCAAAAUCUAGAGAGGAGAAUAGAGAGGGACUCCAGGUAUACCUUGAAACCCCAGAAGGUCGCCUCGCCUCACUGAUGGUAUGGCUGAGCCACAGAACCUGGAUUUGCACAGAAAAAACAUGCGCAGGAAGGGCAUGAGUAUACCACAGCGGUACUCAAUAAGUUUCAAGCCUAACCUCGGUCGAGUAGUGACGAGGAAGGUCAGGGCCCUACUGAUUAUAAAUGAAAAACAAGGUAAAACAGUAUAGAAUAUGACAAUAUAAUUAAAAUGCUAACAGGCUAUAAUGAAUAAAAUCACAAAAAAGAAUCUAACUCGGUACACAGAAAUAGCAACAGGGGAUCCCCCGGGAUAUUGUCCCGUUGUCCCAAACAUAAAUGUCCAGAGGAUCUCCUGGGAUAUCGUCCCGUAGUCCAAAUCAUAAAUGUGCAAGGGAAACUCCCGGAAUACCAAUCUGUAGUCCCAAAGUAAAUCUCCAGUAUGAGGAAUCUACCGGAUGUUGUCCCGAAGUCCCAAUCAUAAAUGUGUGGGAGGGGGGAGAAUCUACCGGAAUAUCGAUCCAUAGUCCCAAAGUAAACAAGUAGGGGGAUCUCCUGGGAUAUUGUCCAGUAGACCCAAAGUAAACACACAACCAUCUCAGAAGAAUAUACAGUUCUAUUCAAGAAUUAAAUCGAAAAUUUCUACUCUAACAUGCUGCACAGAAUACAAGUAGGCAAUUAAAGCAGGUAAGACAAUUAAGUCACGUAAACAUGCUUUUCCUAAUCUAAACAGGAGGUUUCAAGUAAAAGUAUUUGUUAAAUUACAAUAAACAUAGGUAUUAGCUUAAUGUUAACGGGAUUUUCAACAAUUAGCACGUGUACGCACUCGUCACCUUAUGUACACGUCACUCAUAUAACAAAAUACCAAAUCCUAAGGGGAGUUCCCCCACACAAGGUAAGGCAAUCCACUUACCUCGAAUCAGCUCAAUCAACUCGAAAUCACUUUCUUGCCAUGAGUACCCGACUCCAAAUGACCUAAAUCUAUUCAAAGUAAUUGCAUAAUGUAAAUAUAACUACAAACAACUAAUUUAGUUAAUGAAAUCGAAGCUAAGACAAGAAAAUAGAAAAACACCCAAAAAUCCUCCCCGAGCCCACGUCUCAGAAUCGGGUAAAAGUUACGGAUUAUAAAGCCUCAUUCACUCAUAAGUCUAACCAUACCAAAAUUACUCCAACCCGAUACCAAAAUCUUGAUCAAAACCCUAACAUUAGGCCUAAGAACUUUUUAAAAAUUUUCCUCAAUUUCUCACCCUAAAUCUGAAAUUAAAUGAUGAAUUCAUGUUUAGAUUAAUGGGUUAUAAGCAAAAAAAAGUUAAUAAUCAUUACCCCCAAAUUUCCUCCGAAAAUCCUUCCAAAAUUCGUCUCCUACUGAACUCCCAAUUCAAUUUUGUGAUAUGAACUCAAAGCUCUCGAUUUUGAACUUUAUGUUGUGCCUAGACGCGACCUAAAUCGCGAUCACGAAGAGAAACUUUGCUAGCUCCCAGAUUUACCUUACGUGAUACUCUUUAUGCAAACACAAUGCUUGCACUGCUCAGGUCUACGCGAUCGCGGUUUACCUCACGCGAUCGCGAAAAGAAACUCCCAUACCACAGAUGCCUCACUUCUUCCCCUACGCGAAUGCGGCAUAGCCCACGCGUUCGCGGUUCAACCUUCUAACAAUACUACGCGUUCGCAUUCGUUUUCCCGCGAUCGCGUAGAACAAAGUUCCCUCUACCUCAGCUAAGCCUUUUCGAUCACGAGCCUCCUCACUCGAUCGUGAUGAAGGGAAGUCUACAACAGAAAAAUCUGAUCUUUCUCCAAGUCCAAAAAUGGUCCGUUGAGCAUCCGAAACAUACCCGAGGCCCCCAGGACCUCAACCAAACACACCAACCAAUCCUAAAACAUCAUACGAGCUUAGUCCAAUCCCUAAAUCACAUCAAACAACGCUAAAGCCACGAAUCAUCCUCCAAUCCAAACCUAAAGAACUUGAAAUUUUAAGAAUCCUACAACCAAUGUUGAAACUAACCGAACAAAGUCCGAUUGACCCCAAAUUUUGGACACAAGUCGCAUUCAACACUACAGAGCUAUUCCAACUUUCGAAAUUGGAUCCCGACCCCGAUAUCAAAAUCUCACUAUUGAUCCGGAAACUGCAAAAAUUCAACUUUCGGCAUUUCAAGUCUAAAUAAGCUACGGGCCUCUAAAAUACAAUCCGAACACGCCCUUAAGUCUGAAAUCACCCAACGGAGCUAACGGAAUUGACGGAAUUCUAUUCCAAGGUUAUCUUCAUACUGCUCCAACUACGGUCCAAAUUCUAAAGCUUAAACUCUUAUUAGGGACUAAGUGUCCCAAAACACUCCAAAACUCAAAAUGAAUCAUCCCGGCAAAUCAAAGUAGUAGAAAUAAAUACGGGGAAAGCAGUUAAUAGGGGAUCGGAGCAAUAAUUCUUAAAACGACCGGUCGGAUCGUUACAAAGAGCUAGAUCUUCUCUGAAAUGAAUAUAAGUAUAAUUAUUUAAUAAGUACUAUUAUAAAUAGAUAUUAAUUGAUAAAAUAUUUCUAUUGAGUAGCUAAUCUUUUCUGUAUCAUUUCAAUUUUAUCGAAUAUCCCCGAAAAGACUCACUCGUUAAUUAAAUAGGAUUAGACUUGAAUUUUUGUAGCCCUUUUAGAAAUAUUGUUUAAUACUAGUUGGUCUGAUAAUCUCAAGGGUUAGACCAAGGUUGUCACUUCAAUUAAAAUAUUCACUAUAAUUAUAUGAAAAGUAGUUUAUAAAACUUAAACUAGAGGCAAAUGCAUAAGCUAUCCAUUAGACUUGUCCGCUUCUUUUACAUUAACACCUCACCGGACACCACAAUCGUAAUAAAUAUUUAUGAUUUACCUAUUAAACACAAAAUGACAUUUAUUCUUCUAGUUUUUGAGAUAUAAAAUUGUUAGCAAUUUUUUUUACAAAGAAGGUGAAUAAGAAUAUUAAAAAGAAAGAUAGAAAAUAUGUAAAAUUAAGUAAGGGGAGUAAAAUUUUUACACAUUAUCUAAUGAAGGAGUAAAGAGUGAUAUUGUCAAAUUAAUGCAAAUUGAAACGUUAGGAAAAGUAUUCAUCUACCCAUUUUGAAGUAAAUCAAAUUGUUACUUUAUUUAUACUAAAAAGUUUUCAUAUAUUAAAAGUACUAUUUUUUUAAAUACAUAUAAACCUAAUAUUUUUAACAACCUUACUACUAAUUACAGUAGAACCGCCCCUAGUAAUUAAUAGGUAGAUAUUGUAGCAAAUUAAAGGGAUGAAUGAAUCAAUGACAUGUACCAAUAGUUAUGAUCGCAAAUCCAAAAAAUAUAGAGCGAUCAAUUAGCAACAGGCAAAUAUUGUAGCAAAUUAAAGAAAUGAAUGAAACGACAAACAUGUGCUAAUGGAGGUGACAACAAAAAUAAAAAAUACAGGUCGACCAAUUAACAUGUGGAUAUUGUAGCAAAUUAUAGGGAUAGAUAAAACAAUGACAUGUACCAAUGGACAUGACCACAAAUUCAAAACAUAGAGGCUAAGCAAUUAACUUGCAGUAUUGCAGCAAAUUAAAAGGAAGAAUGAAAUAUUUUACAUGUGCUAAUGGACAUGACAACAAAUCCAAAAAUGUAGGACAACCAACAGACAAAUAUUGUAGCAAAUUAAAGGGACAAAUAUGCUAAUGGACAUGACCAAUAGACCCAAGAUAACGUUUUACAUAUGUUAGGGAAAGUAAUUAACACGCAAAUAUCGUAGCAAAUUAAAGGGACGAAUAAAAUGAUGUCAUGUGCCAAUAGACCCAAGAUAAUUAUGUAAAAGAAGAAAUCUAAAGGCUGCCAUUAGUGUAAUUUUUCAUUUUUAAUUCAUGUGAUAAGUAUAAGAUUUGAAAUGGAUCCCAACCUAACUAUUUAUGGACCACAUGAUACGAAUCUAAAGGAAAAAUUUGUCCAUUGUCCUAUUUAGUCGUCCCAAUUUAAUCUGUAUUUAUUUUUAUUUUUAUUUUUAACUUGUACUUAUUUUUUAAAAUCUAUAAUUGAUCGUAAAAUGGGUAGGCUUGCAAAUCUUUUUGCAAAAUGGGUAUAGUUUCAAUUGUGACCCUAAAAUCGGGUAUAAAUGCAAAAGCCCAUCUAAAAGGCAAUUGAACAUUUCUUGAGGGAAUAAGAGCCCGUUUGGAUGGGCUUAUUGUAAGUAACUUUUACGUCAAAUUAGUUUUUAAGACAUAAGUUAGGAAUUCUAGCUUUUGAUUUGUUUUUGUCAUUUUAGCUUAAAAAUAAGUGCUUCAAAGCACGUUUUUUACUUUAUCCAAAUACUACACAAUGGCUUAAAAGUUAUUUUGGCUUAACAACAACAACAACAACAACAACGACCCAGUAUAAUCUCAUAAGUGGGGUCUGGGGAGGGUAAUAUGUACGCAGACCUUACCCCUACCUCGAAGGGUAGAGAGGCUGUUUCCAGGAGACCCUCGGCUCAAAAAAACAAUAGGAGAUGAUAUAUUAGUACCAUAAAAAUGCGUAAUAAAAAUAACAACAAUAUAUAAGAG
Molecule: long non-coding RNA, 33455 nt
Filed under: Nicotiana tabacum (common tobacco)
Lineage: Eukaryota; Viridiplantae; Streptophyta; Magnoliopsida; Solanales; Solanaceae
Description: long non-coding RNA (NTAB_LNC012472)
Source: RNAcentral